RNAcentral lists this ribosomal RNA (253 nucleotides) under uncultured Lysobacter sp. RNAcentral describes it as "partial 16S ribosomal RNA". It matches the Rfam family "Bacterial small subunit ribosomal RNA", at positions 524 to 776 of the family's 1533-position model. Lineage: Bacteria; Pseudomonadati; Pseudomonadota; Gammaproteobacteria; Lysobacterales; Lysobacteraceae. The record is from RNAcentral.
UACGUAGGGUGCAAGCGUUAAUCGGAAUUACUGGGCGUAAAGCGUGCGUAGGUGGUUUGUUAAGUCCGAUGUGAAAGCCCUGGGCUCAACCUGGGAAUGGCAUUGGAUACUGGCAGGCUAGAGUGCGGUAGAGGGGUGUGGAAUUCCCGGUGUAGCAGUGAAAUGCGUAGAUAUCGGGAGGAACAUCUGUGGCGAAGGCGACACCCUGGACCAGCACUGACACUGAGGCACGAAAGCGUGGGGAGCAAACAGG